GCCCUUAGAGUUUGAUCCUGGCUCAGGAAGUCGUAACAAGGUAGCCGUAACUCUGCCUAGAGUUUGAUCCGGCUCAGGAAGUCGUAACAAGGUAGCCGUACCGUAGCCUGUAGAGUUUGAUCCUGGCUCAGAUUGAACGCUGGCGGCAUGCCUUACACAUGCAAGUCGAACGGCAGCACGGGUGCUUGCACCUGGUGGCGAGUGGCGAACGGGUGAGUAAUACAUCGGAACAUGUCCUGUAGUGGGGGAUAGCCCGGCGAAAGCCGGAUUAAUACCGCAUACGAUCUACGGAUGAAAGCGGGGGACCUUCGGGCCUCGCGCUAUAGGGUUGGCCGAUGGCUGAUUAGCUAGUUGGUGGGGUAAAGGCCUACCAAGGCGACGAUCAGUAGCUGGUCUGAGAGGACGACCAGCCACACUGGGACUGAGACACGGCCCAGACUCCUACGGGAGGCAGCAGUGGGGAAUUUUGGACAAUGGGCGAAAGCCUGAUCCAGCAAUGCCGCGUGUGUGAAGAAGGCCUUCGGGUUGUAAAGCACUUUUGUCCGGAAAGAAAUCCUUGGUUCUAAUAUAGCCGGGGAAUGACGGUACCGGAAGAAUAAGCACCGGCUAACUACGUGCCAGCAGCCGCGGUAAUACGUAGGGUGCGAGCGUUAAUCGGAAUUACUGGGCGUAAAGCGUGCGCACGCGGUUUGCUAAGACCGAUGUGAAAUCCCCGGGCUC
This 720-nucleotide ribosomal RNA is filed under the name uncultured bacterium. RNAcentral's name for it is "bacterial SSU rRNA". The stretch from base 105 to 720 matches the Rfam family "Bacterial small subunit ribosomal RNA", at positions 1 to 610 of the family's 1533-position model. The record is from RNAcentral.